Molecule: unclassified non-coding RNA, 4927 nt
Filed under: Leguminivora glycinivorella
Lineage: Eukaryota; Metazoa; Arthropoda; Insecta; Lepidoptera; Tortricidae
Description: ral GTPase-activating protein subunit beta, transcript variant X7
Source: RNAcentral
GGGUGAAAACUUGUGAAAAUCUGCAAGAAAUAACUCGGGAUACAGACUUUCUACCUGUAUAGAAUACAUCAAUUUUUAAACUAAUAGCAUUAUAAAGCAUUAGCUUAGUCUGUGAGUUCACAAAUCACAACAUCGUUUUUAAGUGUGUUUUGUUAUUGUUUACGAAGCAGCUUGCUGCGCGUUGACUUGGAGACGAACGGGACAGCCGACGGCACCGUUAUACCUUAUUUAUGAAUGUGGGAAUCUUCAAUAGAGUCAACCAUAAGAACAAGGAUUCAGGCGGUAUGUACGCCGAGUGGAGCUCGCUGCCGCUGGAGGGCGGCGGGCACGGCGUGCUGGGCGCCGUGGGCGGCGCGGCCGGCGCGGGGCGCGACGUCGUGCUGGCCGUCGUGCGCCAGCUCACCUCGCACGAGCCCAGCCCGCUCACCACCGACGCCGAGGUGGAAUGGGUCCUCGAAGUGAUCCGCUUCGGUCUCUCCCUGCCUCUCCACGAGCACGAGGCGCUCCGCGACUGUGUCCGCGUGUGCUGCUCCUGGCUGUCCCCGCUGCUGCCGCCCGCGCCCCCCGCGCAGCCGCCGCCCCCCGCCGUGCCUCCACCGGUAGCUGCGGCGCCGAAGAGAUACGCUAGGAAGAUAUUAAGACACCUGCAUAACCUCUUCGUGCCACGGCCUAAUGAGACACUCACAUUCAUAUAUCAGACGGAGCUGGGCGGCGACCUCAUCGGCAAGCAGGCCGUGCUCUGCCACCGGGUUCUCCGUCUCGCUCGCACCGUCGCCGGCUCAGCUGACCUGGGCGCUGCUGAGUGGAAGUCUCUUUUACUCCUAUUGCUGGCUGCAGCAAGGGCAUUACUGUCUCCACCCGCCCCGCACCACUCGUCGGCUGAUCAGCUGUGCAGAAGAGUUUUAGCUGUGUUGCUAGAAGUGUGGCUGUUGGCGUGUCACAGAUGUUUCCCGUCACCCCCGCUGUGGCGCACGCUCCGCGAACAAUGUAUUCGCUGGCGGCACCGCGCACCACUGACGGAGCAAUGGACAAGGGUUUCACUCUGUCUUACGGCGCGUCUACUACGCCAUAUGUACGGCCCGACGUUCCCUAAGAUGCCUAUCAGUGAGGAAGACGCUAACCUGAUCCCACCAGACAUGUCUGCCGAAGCGGUCAUGCAAUCCUGGUACCGCAUACUCCACACCAUUGGAAACCCAGUGGAUCUUUGCCGGCCGCAUGUCAUCAGCCAGACUCCAGACUUUUUGCAGUACUCAGUGCUCGAGGAGGGAGCGCGCGACCCGUCGCAGCACCCGUGCCUGCAAGCGCUGCCGGCGAUCUUCCAUAAUGCCAUGCGCGGUCUCGCAGCUCAUGUCGACGCCUUCCUCGGGCGGGGCUCGGAGCGGUGGUGGGAGGCGGGAGUCAGCGGGUCCCACAUCGCCGAAGAGGGCGACACGCCCCCCGCACAUCGCCGACUUGCUAAAUCCUACAGCGUGGCUGGCAAGGCCAGGGACAAGACUGAGAAAGGUACCCCGCGGUCAUCUCUGAUCGGCCUGACCGGCGGAGGCAGCAGGCCCGCCAGCGUGGCGCCGACUACGCCUCCUAACUCUAUCGUCUCGCAAGUGUGUGAUUCGGAGAAGUCGCCGCUGACUCCGUUGCGUCCGAAAGUGAACUCGAUCUUCCAUUUGUUCGGCGAGUGGCUGUUCGAAGCGGCACUCAUUGGGACUACGCCGUCUUACAACAACCAACAGCGUGCCGACGGUACUCCACCGCCGCCAUCUUUGUCGGAUGCCACUAGCAAGCUGAACAUGGCAGCUUACCAACCAGGUCGCGCCGAAGCCCUAGGCGCUUUAUGCCGCGUACUCUGUUCAAAGCAGUGCCGCGAAGAAGUGUCAGCUCAAUACCUAGCACGUUGCUAUGCUGCUAUACAUCGCGGGCUGAGAGACCCACCUACUGCGCCCGCAGUUGUGUUAAAUGCACCUGAUAUAUUCAGAUUGGAUCUAGACGGCGUGUUAGUACUAGUUCCUGACUUCAUCACAGCAUUAGAGCACAUCCUCACAGAGCGAGAGCCGAAGCUAGAGUGUGGUUCCAUAGACAAGAGAGAACUGCGUAAGGCAGCCAUAAGCGCACUGUUGUCUCUGGUCGCUUUCCCGCACCAUUAUAAGGGCCUGCCCGUUCCGGAGUUCCCUGGAUGCAAUGAGUACGCCGGCAUGACACUAGGCGACUACGCCCGCGGGAAGAUCUCCCUAAUCUGUGUAACAGCCGUCCAAGUGGAGACCUCCGACGCGCUUGCAGUGCCUUUACUCAGCGCCCUGUAUCUGUGUGUGCGACACAACGCGCAAGUAUACACGGCGAGCAAGGCGCAUAGCGCGCCGCCCGGCUCCACUAUGUCGCAUAGCACGGAUUAUAAAGGUGCGGCCUUGGUAGUGCGAGCCACUUACCUAGUCUGCCACCGCCUCAUCUCCUCGUGGAAGGGAGACCUGCAGGUGUCGCUGGCAGCGUUGGAGCUGCUCUCUGGGCUGGCUAAGCUGCACUCUGCUAAACCAGAAGCCAUAGAGCGCAAGCGCGCCGUCCGCUGGAUCUGCGACUACAUCAGCAUCCAAUGCAGCCGGCCGCCCCCGGCGCACUCGCGCGACCUGCACUCGUGCGUCGUGGCCGCCUACUCGUGCCUCGCCUCGUGGCUGUGCCCCGCGCUGCUGGCCGACCCCGACUGCCUCGCCGCGCUCAUGGAGGUGGUGGAGCUCGGCAUCUCGGGCACCAAGAGCCAGGGCAAAUCUGGCGAGCAACCAAAGAUGAAAGACGAGAAGGAACUGAAGCCCGUUUCCAUGAGAGUGCGCGACGCCGCGGAAUCAUUGCUGAUGCUCAUUUUGGAACAGGUGGGAUCUGAAUCUCCGGGCACCGGUUGGUGCCGAUUGGAUGAAAGGUGGCUAUCGGCGUUGGGGCACGGUCGCUUGCGCCAUUACGUCGCCGAUGGCAACAUCCUUCUAUCGCUAUUGGAGGAACCGCUAGCGAAUAGCCAGGAACCUCAGCCUACACUUAUCGUGAUCAUCCGCUGCGGCUGGGGCCGCUUCGCGUGGUCCAUGAGCAACCGCGGCGCGCCGCGCUCGGGCGCGCGCGGCGGCGGCGCGGCGUGCGCGCGCCCCGUCGACAUCACCGAGCCGCCGCCGCGCCCCGCGCCCGUCUGCCGGCCCUUACCGCCCGCGCCGCCGCCGUGCGCUGUAGACAGCGCAUUCCCAAGCCUGGAAGCGGUGUUGCGCCAGCUGAACGAUCCGGAGGCGCCCACUCUGUUCAAGCUGCUUGAACAACAGGCCGCUGUCGAGAAACGCAUUCAGGAGAGCGAAAAUGACGCCGUGCCGGAAGAGUGCGUACCGCCGGAGCCAGUGACGGAGUUCCAGACGGCGCGAUUAUUCUUGUCGCACUUCGGAUACCUCAACAUCGGCGGGGAAAGAAAGGGUAUGGGACCACGUUUGGUGGCGCUUGACGACUCAGCCCCCGGUUUCGCGGCAGCUCUACGACGCGUGGACGCCUGUGGCGCACGCACAGUGCUGACGGUUCAUGUGCUCCUGGCGAAAGCCGGUCAGCGCACGGCGGCUGACAUCGUGGCUAACUCGCGCAGGCCACCGCCGGCGGCGUUCGCUAAGAUGCUACGAGGGUUAGGCAAGCCGGUCCGUGUCCGCGGCCACCCAGGCUGGACGGGCCACGUAGCCACAAGUUACGACGCGCAGCCGGAAUACUUGUCCACGCCUCCCCCCACGCCGUCCGAGGACAAGACUCCUUCCAUCUACGACGGCAGGGAACAGGUACUAUACUGGUCUGACUCCAGCAACGAGAUCGCGUUCGUCGUGCCGUCAGGACAUGAAGUUGUUGACACGGACGAUAAGAGCGACUCUAAAUCUGACACCGACGGAAACUGCUUAUCUACCAGGAGUUCAGAAAAGGCAGCAGGUUCGUGCUGGGACGUCUCAAGCAACAGUUCAGGCGCGCUGUCUUACGAACGAAGCAUCAGCGAAUCGGACAAGGCGGAGCGAGGCCGCUCCAGUCUCAACGAGAAAGUGCGCGCACUGUCUCUAGACCUUGACAAGCAACCAGGCGCUCAGCUAACUGGAAGCGGUAGACGUAAUCGUGACUUCACGACGAAGAUUCUGGUUAUCUGGUUGGAAGAUUUUGAAGAUCAUCUAAAUCUUCCAAUAGAUGACUUGCUCCGCUAUUGCGAAACCGGCCUCCCGUGGCGGCGCCACGAGGCGCACUGCAUCUGCGUGUCUCCGCGGCGCUCGGGUCUGCUCCGCGUGCACACCGUGCCGCGCGCGGCGGGCGUGCUGUGCGACGGCGCGCUGCUGUCGCCGCAGCUGCUGCCCGCGUGCCUGCGCCGCGCCGCGCGCUACCUGGCGCGGCCCAUACGACUCAACACCGACCUAUAUCAACCCCCGCACGUACGUCGCCGCCAUCUUAUCCAAGAGUUAGCGCAGCAGUUCAAGAGGGAACUCACCGAACCAGAACUAUUGGAGUCACUCUUUAAACCACCUGCCUAAACGACGACCCAAUAAAACGUAUAAGAUGGUCACCCCUUUAACGUCUGGGGAUAUGGCCUUUAUCGUCUAUCAUAGAUUAUCUACCAACGUAAAGCCUAACCAAAAAUAUAUGACUACGCGCCAUCUUGCGGAAUUUCAUUAGAACUAUUUUCUUCAUACUAAACUGAACUGUCACUCCAUACAUCAGAAUAACAGCGCCCUCCUGAUAAUAGUCAUAUACUUAUGGUCAGGCUUUACACGGUUAUCCUCAAAACCCUCGUCAGGUAUAACCUUGUCAAGGAGUUAUUGCAGUUCAUGAGGGAACUCACUGACCAGAACUAUUGGAGUCACUCUUUAAACCGCCCGCUUGAAUGCAAGAAUAGCUGUUACUAUAACCGCCCGUGUAUCGUGUGUAUGGCUUGCCACAGACAGUCUUAAAAAUU